Homo sapiens (human) is the source of this 5895-nucleotide long non-coding RNA. RefSeq lists it as uncharacterized. NCBI's taxonomy places the organism in Eukaryota, Metazoa, Chordata, Mammalia, Primates, Hominidae. The record is from RefSeq and is a predicted model, not a curated record. The transcript has 2 exons.
CAACAUAUUUUAAUGAGUCAUAUACUAUUGAAACAGAGAAAACAGUCCAGCACGCACUGAACUCAAUUUUGAUGUAUACAGAGUUGACGAUCAUUUUAAACUUGACGAAACUCUAGCCAGGGUCUUCUGAGCCUUCUCAAUUCAGCCUUAACUUUGGUCUAUAAAAACUUGAAAAAGACAGGAACAUAGUUGGUAACAGUUCAAGUCUACAUCUCUAGAACGAACGACCCAGUCUCCCUUAAAGUGAACUGUCUGAGAAAACUGAAACCUGCCUGUCUUCAUGGUUCCUAUAACAAAAAUACCAUGGCCUUACACAACACUUAUUUCUCACAUUUCCACAGAUUGGAAAGUCCACAAUAAAGGUGCCAGCCAGUUUGGUCUGUAAGGACCCAUUUUCUGAUUUAUAGAGCAUGGUCUUCUUGCUGUGCCCUCACAUGGCAGAAGAGGCAAGAAAGCUCUCUGGAGUCUCUUUUAUGAGGUCACUAAGUCCAUUCAUGAGUUCAUCACUCAUGAUCUAAUCAACCCCCAAAGACUUCCUCUCCCAAUAUCAUCACAUUGGGGUUUAAGAUUUCAACAUAUAACUUAUUUAUCUGGCACUGGAACUCAAAUCCAGAUUGGAACCCUUAUCUGGCCCUUGGACAAAACAGUCAAUCCUUUCUGCAUGCGUAGAAACCUUUGUCUGAUCUUCAGUUGACUUACUUUUUUGGGUAUUUGGUGGCGAGUUCAACUUCUGGCCUAACACUGUGUAGAAAUUUGCACUGAGGCAUGGCGAGGACAUAUUUUCUUCCUAUGUUUCUGGCUGUAGUCUCUAAGGCUGGGUUAUAAUUCCAGGCUGCUUUUGAAAGACAUCUCCUGGGCUGGCUGUUUAUCUUCCUGGCUCCCUGUUUUCAGUGGGAAUUCACUUCCUAACUCCUGUGCUGGAAUGUUCACUCUGGCUUCUUGUGAGACCUCUUCAUUCUAUUUGAACUUACUCUUCCCACAGGAACUCCACAGUUAAACCCCUUUUGGGUUCCUACUCUCUAUAUAUACUAUGACACUAACCAUGUCUGCUUCUAUUUUAGGCAAAAUGACUUUACUGUGGAUAAUUCGGAACUGCAAUGGUUUAUUUGAAAAUCUUAAGAUCUGCCUAAAGUGGCUCUUAUAGGACUGCUCCCUUCCCAUUUCCUUCUUUUUUCCUUCUUUCUUUUACCAUCUUAACUUUUUCCAUUGAACUCCCCUGACACUUUGAUAUGCACCUCUUUUCCAUUAAACACCCCUGACUUUUGAUAUAUACCCAUCCUUUUACCCCUACCAGAUGUUUCACUUACCUCUUUAGCCCCUCGACUCCCUAUAGUCACUGGAACGUAUGCCUCCUGAUUCACAGGGGGUUCUCGAGAGACUGAUGCACACACAAAGCAACACACGGGGCUUCCUGGAAACAGAGAUAUAAUCUACAGCCUGUGUAAGAUUACAUUUUAGGUGAAAAACCCACAAAUACCCCAAAAUAUGUUACUAAUUAAAAUCUGUCCUCACUACCUUAACCAGUGUCUGGGCUUUACCUUUGAAACUGGUGUCCUUAUUUAAAAAAAGUUGGACAUGCACCCAGGAAUAUUAUCUUUUGAAGAUAAAGGAAUAGAUUGAAGUAAUGCUACUUCAAGCCAAGGAAUGCCAAAGGUUGUCAUCAAACUACCAGAAUGCUAUGGUACGCAUAGCAAAUGAAUACAUCAGCUUUCAACAACAUCAUCAAAAAUUACAAGUCAUGGUAGCAGGCAAAAAAUAUGCUUUAAAAAGAAAAACAAAAUUAGAAAAGGACUUGGACAUGGCAAGCCAAUCAUGUGAUUUCUUGAUGUUUCUUCUGUGUUUUCUGCCUAGAAAAACCCACUGCACUCACUGCUGGGUGGAUCUAUCUGAACCUCUUAUGGCUCUGAGUGCCAUCUGAAAAAGAUGAUGGUUCCCUUUACCUUGAGUCGUUUUCCCCAGAUACACUAGAACCCAUUAUUUCAGUUCUUUUAGGUCUCUUCUGUGCUAUUCGAUUAUCAGAAAAGAUUUCAAUGACCAAUGAAUAAAAAUGACUGAUCUGUCCCUUAUGCUGUCUUAUUUUUCUUCAUAAAAUUAACAAUCUUGAACAUAUUUUUUACAAUUGUUUCUCUUUUCCACAAUAUAGUGUCAUAUUAAUAAGAUGAGACAUUUUGCUCAUUUUUAUCACUGCUGUGUGCUGAAAGCCUAACACAGUGGUAGCCCCAAAGUAGAUGCUCAAAAAUAAAUAUGCUCUGAAUGAGUAUAUUUAGUCAUUUCCUGGAAGGAGAGGCUGGGUCAAACAGAGUGCUAAGGACUCAGAAUCCUUACUGCUAGAAUGACAAUGAAAUGACAGCAUCAUGUUAGUGGCACAUUUAAAAUGAAACAGUAUCAAUAUUGAAAAUAUUUGUAAGGCUUAUUUGAAAAAAGAAAAUCAUAACACAUUUACCUAUAAUUCAGAAAUUUAAAUUUCUAGAUAAUUUCUAAGAUUAAGGUUUUUUAAUUUCUUAAACUUUUAGAUAACCAUUUUAAAGAAUAUAUAUUGUAUAUAUCUCUGUUAUUAAAAAGUAAUUGAAAGUAAUUACUUCAUAUUAUAUUAAGGCAUUAUAGCUAUAAAUAUGGUGUAAACUGUAAUGGUUAUUCUGCCCUUUCUUCUCUUGCUACCUCCUGCCAUCCUAAGAGAAGUUGCCUUAAGCAGAAUUGUCUCAUCCCGAUCCCCAGAAUCACUCUAUCCACUCACACAUUAUCUUUCCCAAGCUUGAGGAAAAAAUAACAGAGUGAGAGACGAAGAUUAUGUAUUAUUAUUGCGACUCUUGGUGUUUGCAAAAUUCCAAAAUACUGAGAUAUGGCUAAAUAAAAUUCUAUGCAACUUCUUUUGAAUGCAUGAAUGUAUAUAUUUAUGUAAGUUUUAUUUUGUUUACAUUUUGUUUUGGUAAUUAGAGUUUUAUUUCCCUUGGUGACAGAACUUUCUGUUGUCUUUCAGAUGAGUAUAUUUUUGAUUUUGAUUUAAAUAUAAUUUCCCAAAAUAAACAUUUUUGACUUAUACCUAUUUUAUGUUUUUUAUGAUGUCAAGUCCAUGGCAUUUGUUCAGGGCGAGACUUUAAUGACUGAACUUCAUGAUUAUCUUUCUACUUGCCAAACACUUCAUUUAUCUUUCCCAUUAUUCAAGAGCUGCUAUAUCCUUGAGUUUGAUAUUCUUUAUCUGGAAUUCAAUGCAAAGCUCUGCUAAGUGGUCAUGAUGAUCCAAGAGUGGAUGUUAGAAUUCUAGGAUGCCACAGGUCUUUCUCUUUCCAUAAAUCUUAAAGUCUGUAGGUUUAUGAAAGACAGUUUUGUCACAGCCAGUUAGAUUCAUGGGUUAGCAUUGUGGUGUAAGGAGGUGAAUAUAAUGAAUGAACUCAGCAAUGAACAGGUUUUCUGAUGCCAGAAGAAGUUUUCCCUGCGUGUUCUAUAGGUCUUGUGCCGUGUAUCAAGUAUUUCUUCUCUUGAUCUACUGUGCAAUGGGUAUAAGGUUUCAGUGACACAAGAUGAAGUCCUAGAGAUUGGCUGUGCAGCACCGUGCCUGGAGUUCACAGUACUGAAUCGUGCACUGAAAAAGUGUAAGAGGGUAAAUUUCCUGUUAAGUGCUCUCACCACACUAAAUAAAUAAAAUUUAUCAUGAGCCAGGCACUGAACUAAGCUCAGGAUAUAUUAUGAUGAACAAAUUUAGACAUGACAAACGAUCUCAAUAAAACUUAAAAUGUUUUGCUACAAUAAUCACCUGGAAAAAAAAGUCAGUCUUCUCUACAGUAUAAUGUGGAUGGACACAAAUGAGUGGUUUUAAGAUUAUGUUUCCUUCCCUUGUUUUUAAAAAACAUUUAUAAUAAGUAAAAUUCUUCAACAAGAGCAAAAUCAUAUCAGUUUCUAGUAUCAGUGUUUGCCAAAGACUGCUCUUUAAAAUAAAGGGAUCACCUCAGUCCAAUCUACUUGACAUGAUCCUACCUUGUCAGACAAGCUAGUCAAGAUUUGGAAAAGGCAACUACAUUUCAAUCCUUUGAAAAUCUACAUAAUCCUAAGCACAGACUUAUCAGGAUUGGUAAUGGGUCAAGUUUAGGGACACGUUACAAUUACAAUGUAAUUUUUGGCUGUAGUUGAUCAGCAAGUUUACAUCCAUAUAUUCAUCCAAGUUGCUCUUCCUCAAAAAAAUUAAUAUGUUGACAUUUCUACCUGCAAGAUUUGUGAUUCAUGUUUUAAUUAUUACAAUUUUCAUAUAACAUGUUUUAGAAUACCUGAUAUUGUGGGUGAUCUCAAUUUCUUCCUGGGUGAUCUUUCCUGGUUUAAUAUUUGUAUGAUUCCAAUGAUAAAUCUCAGAUAAUAUAAAUAGCAAAAAAUUAAAAUACUGAGAAAAUAAUAUACAACUUAUUAGGGGAGAAAGAGGAAGAGAUGCUCCCUUAGUGGCACACAGAAGGUGGGAUGCCUGGUCUGCUUUUUCUAUAUUUUUGCAUAUUUGGGGUUCAGAAAACUGAAACCCAUAGAGUCACCAUAUGCUACAUACACUGAACCUAAAGUAAUAAGUAGUUCUGAAAGAGAACAGAGGAGAAGAGGGACUCCCUACAGGGAUAAAUGGUCCAGACUUAAGGUAUGGCUUAUUUAUGCUUUCAACACCCCAGGGACUACAAUCCCAGCUGACCAAUUAAACUUCGAGAGUUUCAGUGGAGAUUUAAGGUCCUGGGAUUACUUCUGGAAAAAAAUUAAAAAGCUUACCGUGCAAUUGGCCCAAUACUCAAACCAAAAUCUAAUGGACAGAAAAUAUACAAUUUACAAACUUGUGCUUUUUUUAAAUGUUAAUUAAAAAUAUGUUUAUUAAACCCACAGAUUUUUUUAGUUGGAAAUUUUAAAAUUAAAUUUGAUUAAUGAAAAAAUAAAAUAUAAGGAAAAAUGACAUUUGGAAGCAAAAUGAAGAAUUUCAGAAGAAAGAAAACAUUCAACUAAAUGAUCUUUUGAACAUAUUGAAUUCAGUUUGCUAGUGUUGAGAAUCUUUACAUCCAUGAUCAUAAAAUAAAUUGGCCUGUAAUUUUCUUAUACCGUCCUUGUCUGACAUUGGUGUUAGGGUAAUGCAUGAAAAAAUGUGUUGGAAAGUGCACCCUUUUUAAUUGUUUGGAAAAGUUUGAGAAUAGCAUUAAUCUGUCUUUAGAUAUUUGGUAGCAAUCACCAGUAAAAGCAUCAAGUCCUGAACUUUUAAGUUUAUUAUUAUUAUUAUUGGUGAUUUAAUCUCUGUACUAGUUAUUAAUUUGUUCAGGUUUAUUCUUUCUUCAGGACAUACAUGUCUAAGAAUUUAUCCAUUUCUUCUACGUUACUCAAUUUAUUGACAUAAUUGGUCAUGAUAAUCUCUUAUGACCCUUUGUAUUUUGGUAGUAUUGACUAAUUUCUCCUGCUUUACUUAUAGUUUUAUUUGAGUCAUCUCUCUUAGUUUUCUUGGUUUGUCUACCUAAAGGUUUGCCAAUUUUCCUCACGUUUUUACAGAACCAACUCCUCGUGUUACUGAUCUUUUCUUUUGUCUUUCUUAUCUGUUUAAUUCUGCUCUAACCUUUAUAACUUUCUUCUUUCUUCUAACUUUUGGCUUUUUUCUUCUUUUCUAAUUCCCAGAGUGCCAAGUUAGGUUGCUUAUUUGGGAUCAUUUCUCUCUCUGUCUCAGUAGCUAUCAGAACUACUUUUGCUGUACCCCAUGAUUUGGUAUGUUAUUUGUCCAUUUUUGUUUGUCUCAGGAUAUUUUUAAAUUGUCUUUAUUUUUGGGUCCAUUUGUUGUUUAUGAGUGUUGAGAGUGGGGUAUUAUAAUCCCCUACUAUUAUCAUAUUGCUGUUUAUUUCUUUUUUGUGUUCUGCUCAUGUCUGCUCCAUCCAUUUUGGUGUUCCAAUGUUUCCUGGG